This 423-nucleotide ribosomal RNA is filed under the name uncultured bacterium. Its description in RNAcentral is "bacterial SSU rRNA". It matches the Rfam family "Bacterial small subunit ribosomal RNA", at positions 355 to 777 of the family's 1533-position model. The record is from RNAcentral.
UGAGGAAUAUUGGUCAAUGGGCGUGAGCCUGAACCAGCCAAGUCGCGUGAGGGAAGACGGCCCUAAGGGUUGUAAACCUCUUUUGUCAGGGAGCAAAGCCUUCACGUGUGGAGUUUUGAGAGUACCUGAAGAAAAAGCAUCGGCUAACUACGUUCCAGCAGCCGCGGUAAUACGGAGGAUGCGAGCGUUAUCCGGAUUUAUUGGGUUUAAAGGGUGCGUAGGCGGGAUGUCAAGUCAGCGGUCAAACUGCGGGGCUCAACCCCGUAUUGCCGUUGAAACUGGCGUUCUUGAGUGAGUGAGAGGUAUGCGGAAUGCGUGGUGUAGCGGUGAAAUGCAUAGAUAUCACGCAGAACCCCGAUUGCGAAGGCAGCAUACCGGUGCUCAACUGACGCUGAGGCACGAAAGCGUGGGGAUCAAACAGGA